Molecule: ribosomal RNA, 396 nt
Filed under: uncultured bacterium
Lineage: Bacteria
Description: partial 16S ribosomal RNA
Rfam family: Bacterial small subunit ribosomal RNA
Source: RNAcentral
AUACGUAGGGGGCGAGCGUUGUCCGGAAUGAUUGGGCGUAAAGGGCGCGUAGGCGGGACUGCAAGUCAGAUGUGAAAUCUGGGGGCUCAACCCCCAAACUGCAUUUGAAACUGUGGUUCUUGAGUGAUGGAGAGGCAAGUGGAAUUCCUAGUGUAGCGGUGAAAUGCGUAGAUAUUAGGAGGAACACCAGUGGCGAAGGCGCGUUGCGGGACAUUAACUGACGCUGAGGCGCGAAAGCGGGGGGAGCAAACAGGAUUAGAUACCCUGGUAAUCCACGCCGUAAACGAUGAAUACUAGGUGUGGGGGGACUGACCCCCUCCGUGCCGGAGUUAACACAAUAAGUAUUCCACCUGGGGAGUACGGCCGCAAGGUUGAAACUCAAAUGAAUUGACGGGG